UUGCAUGAAUUGAUUUCAAGUGUGGUACAAAAGUGAAUUUUUGAGAUAGCCAUUUCUAAUCAAUUUGGCCAUUCAAAUAUGUUCAGAAAUCAUAUUUUGGUCAUGUUACAAAGUCAUUUUCGUGCAGUACACACAGCCAUUCCUAACUUGCUUGAAAAUUGGCCAAAAGUACAUUUUUCACCAACUCCAUCCCACCUUUUCAUGGACUGUGAUUUGUACCCUUAAACAGAGUAUUUAAACAUCAUUUUUCUGCUAAAUGAAACCCUAGCAGC
Molecule: long non-coding RNA, 272 nt
Filed under: Lathyrus oleraceus (garden pea)
Lineage: Eukaryota; Viridiplantae; Streptophyta; Magnoliopsida; Fabales; Fabaceae
Description: Pisum sativum (pea) long non-coding RNA (PSAT_LNC010145)
Source: RNAcentral